UAUAAAAAUGGUAAACGGCGAGCAUUUUCAAUUAGUUUACUUGUCAACAUGAUGUCCUAUACGAGUUUGUUUUUUAUUUUAAUUGUUUUUGCUAUUCAAAUUGCAAUUAUUUUGACUGCACCACCACCUGAGGGAAUGUCAGAAGUGAAAUCAGAGAAUACGGCACUGAUUGAUCUUAUAACCGGGUUUAUGAACGUGAGUCUCGGCUAAAGGGAUGCAAUCAUUUUAAUUUCGAUGUGGCACAAUCAAUAAAAUUUAAGAACACA
Pieris napi is the source of this 266-nucleotide long non-coding RNA. RefSeq lists it as uncharacterized. The transcript is spliced from 3 exons. The record is from RefSeq and is a predicted model, not a curated record. Lineage: Eukaryota; Metazoa; Arthropoda; Insecta; Lepidoptera; Pieridae.